Salarias fasciatus (jewelled blenny) is the source of this 2720-nucleotide RNA transcript. It is a transcript of the gene named ADP-ribosylation factor-like protein 13B, with no coding region annotated. Lineage: Eukaryota; Metazoa; Chordata; Actinopteri; Blenniiformes; Blenniidae. The record is from RefSeq and is a predicted model, not a curated record. The transcript has 10 exons.
UCACGUCGCAGCCUAGCAGCGGAGCAGACGGCGUAAACAAAGCAGGCAGCUAAUUAUCGGCUAACGGGGCUACAAGCUAAGCGGCUUUUUCCUUCCCCGUUUACCGGACUUUACGGUUAAAUACCUCAACCGGAAGCGGUUUUUAGGGAAGAGCUCGAGUCCCGUAGUCGUUACAUAGCCUCACGUGAGCCGCGAGACCGGAAAAGGAGCCGAAUCGACCGUCCCGUUAUUCCCCGUUAGCAUCGUUAGCAUUAGCCUCAUUAGCCCCAUUAGCUCCGGUGACUUUUCUCUCAAACCCUCCGCCGAUGGGCCUCGGUGGGUUUUUAACGGGGAACCGCGCGCUGCUGGGAUGAACCGGAGCCUCGGGAGAUGUUCAGCCUGAUGGCGAACUGCUGCGACUGGAUGAAGCGCUGGCGAGAGCCCGCCAGGAAAGUGACCCUGGUGAUGGUGGGGCUGGACAACGCCGGCAAGACGGCAACGGUGCGAGGAAUCCAGGGGGAGAACCCGCAGGACGUGGCCCCCACCGUGGGCUUCUCCAAGGUGGACCUGAAGCAGGGCCGGUUCGAGGUGACCAUCUUCGACCUGGGGGGCGGGAAGCGUAUCCGCGGCAUCUGGAAGAACUACUACUCGGAGUCGCACGGCGUGGUGUUCGUGGUGGACUCCAGCGACGCCCAGCGGCUGCAGGAGACCCGCGACGCCAUGGCCGACGUGCUGCAGCACCCCCGCAUCGCCGGCAAGCCCGUGCUGGUGCUGGCCAACAAGCAGGACCGGGACGGCGCUCUGGCCGAGGCCGACAUCAUCGAGCGUCUGUCCCUGGAGAAGCUGGUCAACGACAACAAGUGUCUCUGCCAGAUUGAGCCCUGCUCGGCGGCCCUGGGCUGUGGGAAGAAGCUGGAUAAGUCCAUCAAGAAGGGCCUGAGCUGGCUGCUGGGCAGCAUCGCCCGCGACUACGACGCCAUCGCCCUGAGAGUGCUCAACGACACGACGGAGCAGAGGGAGCGGGAGGCCCGCGACCGCAAGGAGAGGGCGGAGCGGGUCCGGAGGAUCCGGGAGGAGAGGGAGCGGCAGGAGCGUCUGGAGGCGGAGCGUGAAGGGCGGGACGUUCCGGAGGAGGAGGCGGAGCCGGAGGACUUCCAGAGUCCCUUCCAGCCAAUCGGAGACGUGGUGGCCGAGAAUGAGGAGAAGGAGAAGUCCAGACUGGGCCGUCUCCAUGACGACGGCGAGGACGACGCCCAGGAGGACGAGCAGCCACCGGACGACACCCGGCAGAGCUCCGCUGAUUCCUCUGCCGUCGAGCAAGGCGGGAAGAAGAGCGGCAAGCUGCAGCUGAAGAGGAAGCACCGGGUGGAUCCUCUGAGGGUGGAGGAGAAGGCCCCGCCCCCCCCGGAUGGUUCAUCAAGUGGAUCCAGUUUGUUGUGGUGACAGUUUUGAAGCGUCUGUUUCCAGGAGUGACGUUGUGGUUGUUGUGGUUGUUGUUUCCAGUGGGAUGGGCCACGCCCAAAGCCUCCAGGCUGCCUAAGCUGGAGCCUCUGGGGGACUCCAGACACUCGGGUGUUUCCCGCUAACGUCACCCGACACCUUCUCCCCUCCCCCUCCCCCUCCCCCCUCCCCUCCAGACUUUGACAGGAAGCCCCUCCCCCCUCUGGCCAACCGACCGCGGCCCAACGGCGACGCCCACGACGUGGUGCUUUAGAAAGCCGCCGGCCAAUCAAAAGCUCUGUUUCUCUUCUGUCUCAAGCGGGCGGCGUGUGAUUGGACGGCGGAGGACCGGGACCGAGGCGAUGACAUCACCAGGACUCCGCCCCUCUCCAAGGAUCCAGUGAUUGUGAAGCAGCAGCUUUAGAGAACUGUGGGGUUUUUUUUAAAUGUUGUACAGAGCUGGAGGCCCCGUUUCCAUGACGACCGAACGUUUAGCGCUUUUUACACUUUUCAAAAAGUUUCAUUUUCCCCCGUUUUCAUAGAAACUGAGUGGGAGCAAUUUUAAAAAGUUGCAUUUGGGAAACGACUUGGAGCAUUUUCAAAAACUUGUGCUGUCGUCUCUUUUCAUAGAAACGGAGUCGGAGCGUUUUCAUAAAGUUCCGCCUCUCCUGUUUUCAAGGACUCUGAGUGGCGGCAUUUUCCAAAAGUUGUGCUCUCACCUGUGUUCAUGGAAACGAUCUGCAUUUUCCAAAAGUUGUGCUUUCAACUGUUUCCAUGGAAACUGAGUCGGGACAUUUUCAAGAAGUUGUGCUUUCCCCAGGUUCUAAGAAGAUGGGCUUGAAGCAUUUUCAAAAAGUUACUUUCUGCUAUUUAGACAAAAAUGGAGUUUAAGAAUUUUGAAAAAGUUGUAAUUUCCCCCGUCUCCAUAGAACCUGGCUCAUUUUCAAAAUGUUUUUCCCUGUUUCCAUGGAAACUGAGUUGUAGCAUUUUCAAAAAGUUGCACUUUCACCUGUUUACAUAGAACCUCAGUUUGAUCCUUUCGAGAAAGUUACGCUUUCACCUGUUUUUUUUAUAGAAAGUGAGUUGGACCAUUUUCAAAAAGUUGCACUUUCACCUGUUACCAUAGACUGCAAGAGUGUUAUCAAAAAGUUGUGCUUUCACUUGCUUUCAUAGUAUCUGAGUUGGACCGCUUUCAAAAAGUUGCACUUUCACCCGUUGCCAUGGAAACGGGGCCGGGCCGCCAUGUUUCUUUUCUACAGAGUCGAGUUUUAUAACAACAAAUAAACAUCUUUUCAAUACGA